ACGCGAAGAACCUUACCAAGGCUUGACAUGUUCCAGACCGCCUCAGAGAUGGGGUUUCCCUUCGGGGCUGGUUCACAGGUGGUGCAUGGUUGUCGUCAGCUCGUGUCGUGAGAUGUUGGGUUAAGUCCCGCAACGAGCGCAACCCUCGUUCCAUGUUGCCAGCACGUAAAGGUGGGGACUCAUGGGAGACUGCCGGGGUCAACUCGGAGGAAGGUGGGGAUGACGUCAAAUCAUCAUGCCCCUUAUGUCUUGGGCUUCACGCAUGCUACAAUGGCCGGUACAAUGGGUUGCGAUACUGUGAGGUGGAGCUAAUCCCUAAAAGCCGGUCUCAGUUCGGAUUGGGGUCUGCAACUCGACCCCAUGAAGUCGGAGUCGCUAGUAAUCGCAGAUCAGCAACGCUGCGGUGAAUACGUUCCCGGGCCUUGUACACACCGCCCGUCAAGUCACGAAAGUUGGUAACACCCGAAGCCGAUGGCC
This 477-nucleotide ribosomal RNA is filed under the name Glutamicibacter bergerei. Its description in RNAcentral is "bacterial SSU rRNA". It matches the Rfam family "Bacterial small subunit ribosomal RNA", at positions 959 to 1435 of the family's 1533-position model. Lineage: Bacteria; Bacillati; Actinomycetota; Actinomycetes; Micrococcales; Micrococcaceae. The record is from RNAcentral.